RNAcentral lists this ribosomal RNA (887 nucleotides) under uncultured bacterium. Its description in RNAcentral is "bacterial SSU rRNA". It matches the Rfam family "Bacterial small subunit ribosomal RNA", at positions 8 to 886 of the family's 1533-position model. The record is from RNAcentral.
AGAGUUUGAUCAUGGCUCAGGAUGAACGCUAGCGAUAGGCCUAACACAUGCAAGUCGAGGGGCAGCACAUGAGGUAGCAAUACUUCUGGUGGCGACCGGCGCACGGGUGAGUAACACGUAUGCAACCUACCUUCAACAGGCGGAUAACCCCGGGAAAUCGGGGCUAAUACGCCAUAACACAGGGAUCCCGCAUGGGAAUAUUUGUUAAAGAUUUUAUCGGUUGUAGAUGGGCAUGCGUUCCAUUAGCUAGUUGGUGAGGUAAGGGCUCACCAAGGCAACGAUGGAUAGGGGAACUGAGAGGUUUAUCCCCCACACUGGUACUGAGACACGGACCAGACUCCUACGGGAGGCAGCAGUGAGGAAUAUUGGUCAAUGGAGGCAACUCUGAACCAGCCACGUCGCGUGAAGGAAGACGGCCCUACGGGUUGUAAACUUCUUUUGCAAGGGAAUAAAGUGAGUCACGUGUGACUUUUUGCAUGUACCUUGCGAAUAAGGAUCGGCUAACUCCGUGCCAGCAGCCGCGGUAAUACGGAGGAUCCGAGCGUUAUCCGGAUUUAUUGGGUUUAAAGGGUGCGCAGGCGGGAGAUUAAGUCGGUGGUGAAAUUUUGCAGCUCAACUGUAACAGUGCCAUUGAUACUGGUUUCCUUGAGUGUGGAUGAAGUAGGCGGAAUUUGUGGUGUAGCGGUGAAAUGCAUAGAUAUCACGAGGAACUCCGAUCGCGUAGGCAGCUUACUAAACCAUAACUGACGCUCAUGCACGAAGGCGUGGGGAUCAAACAGGAUUAGAUACCCUGGUAGUCCACGCGGUAAACGAUGAUUACUGGCUGUUUGCGAUACACUGUAAGCGGCCCAGCGAAAGCGUUAAGUAAUCCACCUGGGGAGUACGUU